AGACCAGCAGGAAACGCAUCGUUUGGAGGGAAAGAGAAACCAUUGUCCAUCAUAGGCGGCUCAGAUUCAAGAGUCAAGAAAAAAAACUCAUGAUAAGGGCGUGAGUCGAGUGAGAUAUAGAAGGAAGGAGAGAAAGAGAGACAGAGAGAGAGAAAGGGCCUUGAAGAAAAGAAAAUGGUGGUUCUUGAAGAAGCAGAGAAUGUUUAAGCGGAGUGAGGUAGUGAAGUGAGAGACUACUUCUUGAAGAAGGCAAGGAGUCAAAAGUGGAAAAGUACGUAAUUGACGAAGACCAUAAGAAAGUUAGUGGAAAGUUCAAUUAAUUACGAUGGAAUUUGGAAAACAAACGCCAUGAUCUCGGAACAGUAGUCCUCAUCUUUAAAUCAGCGACAUUUGCUCCGUUGCUUGGAGUAAAGGGGCUUUUGGUGAUCCUUGGAGCAGAGAUGAACGAAUUGAUUUAGAGCAUGUAAAUAAACAGAUUCUCAAACUAAAAUAAAUUGAAAUUGACAAUUUAUCAAG
Molecule: unclassified non-coding RNA, 516 nt
Filed under: Hevea brasiliensis (rubber tree)
Lineage: Eukaryota; Viridiplantae; Streptophyta; Magnoliopsida; Malpighiales; Euphorbiaceae
Source: RNAcentral